RNAcentral lists this ribosomal RNA (253 nucleotides) under uncultured bacterium. Its description in RNAcentral is "partial 16S ribosomal RNA". It matches the Rfam family "Bacterial small subunit ribosomal RNA", at positions 524 to 776 of the family's 1533-position model. The record is from RNAcentral.
UACCGAGGUGGCAAGCGUUGUUCGGAAUUACUGGGCGUAAAGGGCGCGUAGGCGGUUCGUUAAGUCCUGUGUGAAAUCCCCCGGCUCAACUGGGGAACUGCACAGGAAACUAGCGGGCUUGAGUUCGGGAGAGGGAAGCGGAAUUCCGGGUGUAGCGGUGAAAUGCGUAGAUAUCCGGAGGACCACCGGUGGCGAAGGCGGCUUCCUGGACCGACACUGACGCUGAGGCGCGAAAGCUAGGGGAGCAAACGGG